UACAGAGGGGGCAAGCGUUAUUCGGAAUUAUUGGGCGUAAAGGGCGCGUAGGCGGCCUGACACGUGGAUGGUGAAAUCCCUCGGCUUAACCGAGGAACUGCCAUCCAGACUGUUUGGCUCGAGACCGGGAGAGGUGAGUGGAAUUCCCAGUGUAGCGGUGAAAUGCGUAGAUAUUGGGAGGAACACCAGUGGCGAAGGCGGCUCACUGGACCGGUACUGACGCUGAUGCGCGAAAGCGUGGGGAGCAAACGGG
Molecule: ribosomal RNA, 253 nt
Filed under: uncultured bacterium
Lineage: Bacteria
Description: partial 16S ribosomal RNA
Rfam family: Bacterial small subunit ribosomal RNA
Source: RNAcentral